CUUCUCUCUGGCUGCAGGUGGUAUUGCUCCAUAUGCCUGAGACCCUAACAAAAGCCUAAUUACAACUCAUAUGCCUGGAGCCAGGACAUGUGCAGGAUGCCAUGAUGGUCCAAGUUAUAUUGGGAUUCAGCCAAUAGAAGAUAUUUUGCCUGUCAUCCCUAAGCUUAGGACAAUAGACUCUGCCAAGAGAGGGGAUUAUUACAUAUUGCAGAGCCCAGCACCUAGGUGGAGUGACUCUCAUCUUUUUCUUCUACCCCGUAUAUAGCCAGCUUGGUGACCUACUAUUUGAGUCUAUACCCAGGCCCAGACCACAGAUGAAAUUGUGCAAUAUGUGGAACAAACACCUAAACAAUAUAUAACACCUUCCUUGGCUCUGUCUACAAAGGGCACUUUUAUAUAUCACUGGGACCAUCAACCAGGUGAUGUUAAUUAUCUUCCUGAAACCUGUCUACAAAGAGAGUUGUGUCGUAUACCUAGGCCCGUCAUGUGAUGUUGUGCCAUAUAACUGAGACCGUAUCAAAAGCCUAAUAACAAGACGUAUGUCUGGAGCCCCGAUAUGCACAGGAUGGUGAUAUAACCCUCUUCUCUGGAAUGGGCCCCACACAAAGGAAGGAUAGUGACAUAUUGCAAGCCCAGGCACACAGGCCCAGAGCACAGUUGAAAUUGUGACAUAUGUACACCAAGCAACCAAGCAAUGUAUAACACCUCAUUUGGCAAUGGAAUCGAGGGCACUUUUACAUAUCACUGAGACCAGCGCCCAGCUGAUGUGAAAUAUUGGCCUGAACCCUGCCUACAAAAGCAUUGUGGCUUUUAUCUAGCUCCAUUACAUAAGUGAUGUGACUUCCUUCUACUGCCUUGGCCCUGCACUUAUGGUGAAUCGUGACACAAAAUUGGGUAGAGCAACCAGCCUGGGCCCUGACCAGCACAGAGAUUGAGGCAUAUUGCUGAACCCAGGACCAAGAUGAAGUCACUCUCCUGCCUUGAUCCUGCACACAGGGACCCUUGUGACAUAUAUACAGGCCAAUUGCCUAGGUGAUGUUGUGCAAUAUACCUGAGACC
This 1059-nucleotide long non-coding RNA is filed under the name Homo sapiens (human). RNAcentral describes it as "long intergenic non-protein coding RNA 293". The record is from RNAcentral. Lineage: Eukaryota; Metazoa; Chordata; Mammalia; Primates; Hominidae.